RNAcentral lists this unclassified non-coding RNA (372 nucleotides) under uncultured fungus. Its description in RNAcentral is "sequence contains ITS1". The stretch from base 1 to 105 matches the Rfam family "5.8S ribosomal RNA", at positions 50 to 154 of the family's 154-position model. Lineage: Eukaryota; Fungi. The record is from RNAcentral.
GAAAUGCGAUACGUAGUGUGAAUUGCAGAAUUCCGUGAACCAUCGAAUCUUUGAACGCAUAUUGCGCCCGAGGCCUCGGCCAAGGGCAUGUCUGCCUCAGCGUCGGCUCACCCCUCGCCACCCCCUUCCUGUUGUGCAAGCAGCGGCAAGGUGUGGACGGCGGAUCUGGCCGUCUCGGUCCCCUUCAAACGGGACCGGGUCGGCUGAAGCCCAGAGGCUUUGCAGGACCCUGUCACAUGGGCACAGCUUGGUAGGUAGCUCACGCUGCAUGCCGCUGGCGCCUGAUUGGGGCCUGCGCUCACAAAGCCCGCAGGAAAAACAAAACCCUUUGUUUUCGACCUGAGUUCAGGCAAGGCUACCCGCUGAACUUAA